Molecule: transfer RNA, 73 nt
Filed under: Sphaerodactylus townsendi
Lineage: Eukaryota; Metazoa; Chordata; Lepidosauria; Squamata; Sphaerodactylidae
Description: tRNA-Ile
Rfam family: tRNA
About the family: Transfer RNA (tRNA) molecules are approximately 80 nucleotides in length. Their secondary structure includes four short double-helical elements and three loops (D, anti-codon, and T loops).
Source: RNAcentral
GUCUCUGUGGCACAAUUGGUUUAGCGCUCAGCUAAUGACCAAGAGGUUGGUGGUUUGAGCCCAGCCAGGGACA